Molecule: long non-coding RNA, 371 nt
Filed under: Capra hircus (goat)
Lineage: Eukaryota; Metazoa; Chordata; Mammalia; Artiodactyla; Bovidae
Description: lncRNA (ENSCHIG00010014422.1)
Source: RNAcentral
UCCUUCUGAUUCUUUCAGUUACCGUAUCUCCCAAGAAAUGUGAAUUACUCACUUUUUAAAGAAGGAUUGCUUCUUGGAUAAACUUCUCCAUCUCAAUCAAAGUUUCAGGUGUGCAGCAACGUAUAUCUGAAUUACUUUGCUUCCCUGGUGGCUCAGACAGUAAAGAAUCUGCCUGCGAUGCAGAAGGCCAUGGUUUGAUCCCGGGGUCAGGAAGAUCCCCUGGAGAAGGGAAAGUCUACCCACUCCAGUGUUCUUGCCUGGACAGUUUCAUGGACAGAGGAGACUAGUGGACUGUAGUCCAUGUGGUUGCAAAAAGUUGGGUGAGUGAGUGACUAACACUUUCACUUUUUUCAUAUGUGUGUGUAUAUAUA